This is a non-coding RNA of Phoenix dactylifera (date palm), 2923 nucleotides long. Lineage: Eukaryota; Viridiplantae; Streptophyta; Magnoliopsida; Arecales; Arecaceae. The record is from RefSeq and is a predicted model, not a curated record.
GCGCUUUAUGUGAGGGGGGUAGGAUCGUAAUAUUACGAUAUAAUGCGGGCGGACGGUCGGAAAUCGGAGGACGUGAAGCCAACGGUCAUGGUCGGAAGGAAAUUCCGACGACAGCCGAUGGAAAGCGCCACGUGGCGUUAGUUCCAGAAACCGAUCCAACCUCAUGGAAGCUUCUUGAGCCGUCGCGUCUCGCCCGCCUUCCCCGUCCCUCCCUUCGCCUCCCGCCUUCCCUAUUUUCUUGCCGGUUCUGGGGGAUUUAGGGUUCUUUCCGUGGCUCAAUUCCCACAGUUUGGGAUGUAAUUUGAGAAAAUUUGGUCGGGCUUUGGUUGAUUCGAGGAACUGAUACGGUUUAGGGUUUCAGAUGGGAGGACCUCUCCAUUCCCGGAGAUUUUAGGUUUGUUUUGGUUGGGGAGAAGGUGGAUUUUAGUUUUCCGUCGGAGAUGCAGACGGUGAGAGUGAGAAGGAAUGGAAAUUCUUUCCAUUUUUCUGAGGGUUUGAUGGAGAGAGAGUUUGAUAGCUUUGCGACGAUCCCAGCGUCCUCCUCUUCGUCUCUGCCUUCUUCUUCCUCUUCUUCGCCGAUGGGUGUUAAUUAUAUCGAGCACCGGGUCUCGAAGAUGGAUACGCUUGCCGGCGUUGCCAUAAAGUAUGGUGUCGAGGUAGCAGACAUAAGACGACUGAAUGGUUUGGUGACAGAUCUUCAGAUGUUUGGUCACAAAUCAUUACAGAUUCCUCUGCCAGGAAAGCAUCCUCCAUCUCAAAUUCUUUCAAAUGGUUCAGCUAAUAACGGGAAGUUCCCAUCAGAAAUAUCAUCUGACAUCUUCUACCAACAGUGAGGAUAGUUUAUGGUACUGAAUUUUAAUAGCUAUAUUCUCCCUCUGCUCUUUUUAGUCGGGUAAGUGUCCAUAUCUGUAAUCUUUAACUAUCUUUCUUUUUAAUCUGCUUUUGCUCAUCUUGACUACCGAAGUUGCUUUAACAGAGAAGGAUGACAAAGGUAUCAAAUCAUUGUAGGCCGCGAACCUUUACUUUGGAUCAUAUGCCAUGUAACAAUAUUAACUUUGACCUGUAUAUUUAGAUAAUGUUUUACUGGUGGAUUUCUUAGUGUCUUAAAAUAAUAGCUAUUUUUUAUCCAUCACCACAUUGUAAAGGGAUUUGUAAAUCCAGUGUGGAGGAUCCCAAAAUGUAUAAAUUGAUGUUGUAUGCAUGAGCAUAUUGUAAUGCAGUACCUCCUGAUAGAUGCUAAAACUUUAAUCUGAGGGGACCAAGCAGUAGAAAUCGUUUCUUAGCAACGACAGAAAAUCAUUCUGAUUGAUGGUUAUUGGAUGCCAUUGGCAUUCCUCAAAAUGUUCAUGAACUUUAGAUGGAAUAUUUGAUUGUUUGAUUGCCUUCUGACACUGAUGUUUAAUGGUUUAGGAGUAAGGUGUUACUUCUAAGAAAAAUCUGCUUGCACAUAACUUGUUAGCUUUCUUUGGGAGAAAUGAUAUGAUAACGUCAAUGAAAAAUACAUCUUUUUUUUCCCUAAAAAAAAUUACAGCUUUUCAACAAUACCAUUUAUGGUUUAUGUUAUCUCGUGUUUACAAAUUGUAACUAUUGAAAAUUCAAAGUAGACUGGUCAUCAAGAGUAGAAUCUUGUGAGAUGGUUGUUGAUUUAGCACUUUGUCAGUUCUUUUAUAAAACCAUGUUGACCACUCUCUUGUUCUGUAGUCUUGCAGUUUUCUUGCUCUUAGACAGCUGUUUACAAGAUUCAUUGAUCACUGUAGAGCAUAGAACAACAGACUCCUCCCCAUCAGCCUCAUAUUGAUGUCUUGGAUUCAUUCCAAUCGCUCAAGUUGAAACCCCCUCCAUAUAAAAUCUCCCCAGCUAUGAGCAGUUUACAGGGAUACUAUCGCCUCACACGCCCUAGAAGCGGUCCAACACCCGAAGGCAGCGAAGUGGCUGUGUACAAAACACGCAGAUUCCUCUGCUUGGAGAAUGAACAGUUGCCGGGAGAGUCGCCAAUCUCUGACCCAAUUCAUAGCUGGAAUCAGAGGACUGGAAGUGUGGCAAAUGGAUUCUCAUCAGAAAAUGGUGAGGUUGUCGAGGACAAAAUAGUUGAAGCUGUCGACAACAGUGAUGCUGAGAGAUCUAUUAGGAGGCGUCAAAAGUCUGAUGCUCUUCCAUCACAGCAGAUGCCAGAACUAUUUUUGGAGGAUAGCUCUGGGGGAUUUGCAGGGAGGGCAGCGAAAGGCCUGGCCGUGAGGCCGAAAUCAGGGAGCAGAACAGAUAUGGAUAUGGGUCGCGGAAAUGGCGUUUCUUUUGGAGACUCCUCCAUGGCUGGUGGAUUUUCUGCUGUCCGUAAAUCAUCCAGCACUUCCAAUUUGCAAGACGCUGACAGCAGCUCCUCCAUAUGGUCGACGAGCAAGUGGACUUUGAAACCUGAAGCUCUUGCUAGGCCUCUUUUUGAUGGCUUGCCAAAGCCCAUAGCUGCAUGGAGGAAUAAUAAAGCUGCUCGGGAUUAGCCACCCUUCUUACUUGUUCGGUCAAUUUUUUGCUGCAAUCUGAUAUCUGAUACACCGAUUAUUGCAACUCAUGAGAGUGAGUUCUGCAUCAGGCCUUGAAUUAAAACAUCAUAUAUGUCACCCUACAGGAAUAGGAAGAGGUACAGAAAAUUCGUCAAAUAAAACAUUAUAAUGCCAUCUCGACCUGUUGCAACUGGUCAGAAACAUGGGCACCAGUCUUGCAUGUUCCUUGUGUCGCAAUGGAAAAAAGCCGAGCUUAACAGUAGCUGUAAUCCUUUAGGGUCAUCACAUCACCAUUAAUACGUCGUUCCUGCUCGGUCCUACUGUUUUGAAGGAAUUCUUUUGUAUAAAUUCAGAUGUUGUAUUUAUAGUGAGGAAAUCAAAUUUUGUAUUUUUUUCUCCAUAAAAUUGAUUUAGAAAUGGUUCAA